UUCCGCCGGGCAUAAACCCGAGUUUAUAGUUAUUCCUCAUCCAAUUCUGAGGUUAGCGGCCGGAGCUGUACUUUCGCAUUCACCGGGCCACGCGUAACUUGAUUAGCGUCGCGGACUCCGUUUAUACGUAUAAGACAUGUUCGCAUUAAUAUUAUGCACGGAACUGACGGGGUUUUCGCCCCUUCGGCCCACCGACCGAACGUAGAUUACCUCUC
Molecule: non-coding RNA, 215 nt
Organism: Cinara cedri
Lineage: Eukaryota; Metazoa; Arthropoda; Insecta; Hemiptera; Aphididae
Source: the annotation of a GenBank genome assembly